RNAcentral lists this small nucleolar RNA (141 nucleotides) under Ochotona princeps (American pika). RNAcentral's name for it is "Small nucleolar RNA SNORA74 (ENSOPRG00000022712.1)". The record is from RNAcentral. Lineage: Eukaryota; Metazoa; Chordata; Mammalia; Lagomorpha; Ochotonidae.
CCCAGCUGGAGGCAAUAGCCUAGGUGGUACUGUACCUGGGCAAGUGUUACACUGCUGGGAGAAAACCAGCUAAUAGCUGGCAGGCAUCCUGGGACUGGUUAAUGCCAAACGGUGUUAACCAUACCAAUGUGCCAGCAUAGU